AGUGUAGGCGGCUUCGUAAGUCGGAUGUGAACGCCCCGGGCUUAACCUGGGAAUGGCAUUCGAUACUGCGCGGCUAGAGUCUGAUAGAGGGAAGUGGAAUUCCAGGUGUAGCGGUGAAAUGCGUAGAGAUCUGGAGGAACACCAGUGGCGAAGGCGGCUUCCCGGAUCAAGACUGACGCUGAGGCUCGAAAGCGUGGGGAGCAAACA
Molecule: ribosomal RNA, 207 nt
Filed under: uncultured bacterium
Lineage: Bacteria
Description: partial 16S ribosomal RNA
Rfam family: Bacterial small subunit ribosomal RNA
Source: RNAcentral